RNAcentral lists this ribosomal RNA (468 nucleotides) under uncultured bacterium. RNAcentral's name for it is "partial 16S ribosomal RNA". It matches the Rfam family "Bacterial small subunit ribosomal RNA", at positions 28 to 507 of the family's 1533-position model. The record is from RNAcentral.
GACGAACGCUGGCGGCGUGCUUAACACAUGCAAGUCGAACGGAAAGGCCCUGCUUUUGUGGGGUGCUCGAGUGGCGAACGGGUGAGUAACACGUGAGUAACCUGCCCGUGACUUUGGGAUAACUUCAGGUAACUGGGGCUAAUACCGGAUAGGAGCUCUUGCUGCAUGGUGGGGGUUGGCAAGUUUCGGCGGUUGGGGUUGGACUGGCGGGUUAUCAGUUUGUUGGUGGGGUAGUGGCUUACCAGGGCUUUGACGGGUAGCCGGCCUGAGCGGGUGACCGGCCACAUUGGGACUAAGAUAGGGCCCAGACUCCUACGGGAGGCAGCAGUGGGGAAUAUUGCACAAUGGGCGGAAGCCUGAUGCAGAAACGCCGCGUGCGGGAUAACGGCCUUCGGUUGGUAAACCGCUUUCGCCUGUGACAAAGUGUGAGUGACGGUAAUGGGUAAAGAAGCACCGGCUAACUACGUG